Molecule: ribosomal RNA, 482 nt
Filed under: uncultured bacterium
Lineage: Bacteria
Description: partial 16S ribosomal RNA
Rfam family: Bacterial small subunit ribosomal RNA
Source: RNAcentral
AUUGAACGCUGGCGGCAUGCUUUACACAUGCAAGUCGAACGGCAGCGCGGGGCAACCUGGCGGCGAGUGGCGAACGGGUGAGUAAUAUAUCGGAACGUACCCAGAAGUGGGGGAUAACGUAGCGAAAGUUACGCUAAUACCGCAUACGAUCUACGGAUGAAAGUAGGGGACCGCAAGGCCUUAUGCUUUUGGAGCGGCCGAUAUCUGAUUAGCUAGUUGUUGAGGUAAAGGCUCACCAAGGCGACGAUCAGUAGCUGGUCUGAGAGGACGACCAGCCACACUGGAACUGAGACACGGUCCAGACUCCUACGGGAGGCAGCAGUGGGGAAUUUUGGACAAUGGGCGCAAGCCUGAUCCAGCAAUGCCGCGUGAGUGAAGAAGGCCUUCGGGUUGUAAAGCUCUUUUGUCAGGGAAGAAACGGUAGAGGCUAAUAUCCUUUGCUAAUGACGGUACCUGAAGAAUAAGCACCGGCUAACUACGUG